Molecule: ribosomal RNA, 210 nt
Filed under: uncultured bacterium
Lineage: Bacteria
Description: partial 16S ribosomal RNA
Rfam family: Bacterial small subunit ribosomal RNA
Source: RNAcentral
UACAGAGGGUGCAAGCGUUGUUCGGAAUUACUGGCGUAAGCGCGCGCAGGCGGGUUUGUAAGUCGGAAGUGAAAUCUCACUGCUCAACGGUGGGCUGCUUCUGAUACUGCAAAUCUUGAGACCGGUAGAGGUUGGUAGAAUUGCAGGUGUAGCGGUGGAAUGCGUAGAGAUCUGCAAGAAUACCCGUGGCGAAGGCGGCCAACUGGGCCG